UGGUCCUUGAUGCAGCCAGGCAGAGACGUGACAGACUGGUCAGCUGGACGUAAGGAAAAGCUGAGUCGCUCCCUCUCCCUCUCACUAAGUGGAUUUAACCCAUCAGCGAAUGGUCUGACUGGAGUGUGACUGUGAUAAUAAAGGACUCAGGCACACAGCGUUAUAGUUGCAAUCUGUUUCUACAGCAGCUUUCCAGCUGCUCUCCUCCAGCUCCACACCACACUCUCUGCUCUGAUCCCAGCGACGUACUCAAAAGGGGAAACAUGAUCAGAUGAUGGAGGUCAGGUGUAUUGAGUCAGCCUCCUCUGACACCACAGCCUGAACCAACUGCUCCACCCCUUCCCUGGUAGCUGAGCCACAAACCACACUGUGCCACAGUGACGGUUAACUUUAGUAAUAACAAAACAAUUGAUGGUG
Long non-coding RNA from Astatotilapia calliptera (eastern happy), 417 nucleotides. The record is from Ensembl. Lineage: Eukaryota; Metazoa; Chordata; Actinopteri; Cichliformes; Cichlidae.